Molecule: ribosomal RNA, 857 nt
Filed under: Cryphonectriaceae sp. MAF-2020a
Lineage: Eukaryota; Fungi; Ascomycota; Sordariomycetes; Diaporthales; Cryphonectriaceae
Description: partial large subunit ribosomal RNA
Rfam family: Eukaryotic large subunit ribosomal RNA
Source: RNAcentral
GAAAAGAAACCAACAGGGAUUGCCCUAGUAACGGCGAGUGAAGCGGCAACAGCUCAAAUUUGAAAUCUGGCCUCGGCCCGAGUUGUAAUUUGCAGAGGAUGUUUCUGGCGCGGUGCCUUCCGAGUUCCCUGGAACGGGACGCCACAGAGGGUGAGAGCCCCGUAUGGUUGGACACCAAGCCUGUGUGAAACUCCUUCGACGAGUCGAGUAGUUUGGGAAUGCUGCUCAAAAUGGGAGGUAAAUCUCUUCUAAAGCUAAAUACCGGCCAGAGACCGAUAGCGCACAAGUAGAGUGAUCGAAAGAUGAAAAGCACCUUGAAAAGGGGGUUAAACAGUACGUGAAAUUGUUGAAAGGGAAGCGCUUGUGACCAGACUUGCGCCGGGCGGUUCAUCCGGGGUUCUCCCCGGUGCACUCCGCCCGGUUCAGGCCAGCAUCGGUUCUCGUUGGGGGAUAAGAACGGCAGGAACGUGGCCCUCCUUCGGGUGGGUGUUAUAGCCUGCCGUACGAUACCCUGGUGGGGACCGAGGUUCGCGCUCCGCAAGGAUGCUGGCGUAAUGGUCAUCAGCGACCCGUCUUGAAACACGGACCAAGGAGUCGUCCAUUAGAGCGAGCGUUUGGGUGUAAAACCCGCACGCGUAAUGAAAGUGAAAUUAGGUGAGAGCUUCGGCGCAUCAUCGACCGAUCCUGAUGUUCUCGGAUGGAUUUGAGUAAGAGUUUUAACGGACGGACCCGAAAGACAGUGAACUAUGCUUGUAUAGGGUGAAGCCAGAGGAAACUCUGGUGGAGGCUCGCAGCGGUUCUGACGUGCAAAUCGAUCGUCAAAUAUGAGCAUGGGGGCGAAAGACUAAUCGAACUGU